CAAACAAACUCUCGAUGUGAAGACCAAAGAGUGGACGGGUUGUUGGAGAUGGGAGUUGAAGGACGAGGUACUGCGACGCAGGUAUCCAGGUGUGUUUGUGUGUACCUGUGGUUGUGUGCGCCGGGAGUGCCUUGUUGAGGGAAUCCGGACCUCGUCUCUGCCUUCGGGCCACUGCAGUCGUUACGCACGAGUCGGAGCAUUCCAAAACGCCGCUGCCCGGACGCACGGACGCACGGCAGGGCACGGAUGUUGGCACUCCUGCUGGACUGGGUGAGUCCAAACUCAGUUCUGUCAGUUUUUAGUAUUUUAAGUUGUUCAUAUUAAGCAGCCGAGAUGAAGUUGACUCAGAGUGAAGUCACAAAGAUCAAAGGAGCGUAAAAGCGCACAAGAAUAUUACAUAUUUUUAAGAUUUUUUUUGGGUGAUCUGCGACACACACUUAAUCUAAUCAAUGUAUUGUGGGAAUUAUGUAUAUAUAUUUUUUUUUUCUUGUACACUAUUCUUGUAAAAAUAACACGAUAAAUUUGGCUUUUUAAAUUUGUUUUAUCAGUUGCAAGAUUUGAAAUUGUGCGUAGAGCAGCUUUCAAAAAAACGUAGGAUUAUUUUUUUAUAAGCUCAGAAUUAGUGUCAUCCGCUCUCACUGUAGACAAAGUGUAACAUUAGCUGAUGUGUGAUUGCUGAUAAAGUACAAAUGGUUUACUAAUGCAUCUAAAAAUGUCAAUUUUUUAUCAGGAGAAAUGCAAAAUAAAGGAGUUUGUCCUUCUGAGUCUAAAUAAAUUCUGGCAUGAACUAAAUUGUCAAUGAAAUAUAGGAAACACAAUAUAUAUAAAUUAGGCUGAGAGGAGAAAUCCACAAUAAUCCUUUAAACUCCUUUGGGUUUAAAAGUUGUUUUGAUUUUUCUCUUCACAGAAACCUGCUUUUCAUCACCCUGUUUUGGGAUUUUCUUCCUCUCAGCCUAAGGCCGUGCCUUUGGCUGUUGGCUACAACCCUCCAGCCUUUUCCCACCUCAAUCUGAGACCGACUUCUUUAUUAUGUAGUAUUAAGGCUUUGUCCAUAUCUCAGUGGUCUUCUCCCAACAUAAAAAACAAAAAUAAGAACCUAUUUGCAUGGAGUGAGAGAAAAAAGGAAAGAUAGAAAAAAGGAGGUCAGGGUUGGACUCUCCUCAAAUAACCUGAAAAGUUACAACAUGCACCAAAGAACAACACAACACACUGACAAGAGAAGCUGAAAGAGAUUGAGUGGAUCCUCUCUCUCUCUCUCCCUCUCUCUCUUUCUCUCUCUCUCUCUCUGUGUAUGUCUGUCUUUCUUUCUGUCCCUCUCUCUCUCUCACUGUGUCCCCAGUGUCCUCCCCCAGUCCUCCGCCAAUCCUCCCCUCUCUCCUAGCUCGUUGGGUGUGCUGCAGAGCUGGCAGGGUUAAAAGGGCAAGUGCUGACCGGCCCUCUUUCUUUCUCUGUCUGCUGUUACUAGGUCACCUCACACACAGACAUGCACGCUCACACGUGCACACACACCUCGCUUUGCGGUCAGUGUUGCCACCAGGGAGAGGGGUAAUUUAAGCCCUCCUUGAUGUAGCCUAUUCAUCACUGUCCUGCAGGCUAUGCUUCAAAAUUAAAGUCUGAUCUACAAAGUUGGAGUGAUAUGAGAUAAAAAUUAAAAAAUUGGCAGAGGUCACAAGGUGCAACACAGUCGAAACGCGAAGCCGUGGCUCAGCUGCUCUGUAUGAGGUCCUUAAGUUAUUUGAUCUCUUAACUGUGCGAAUUGUGGGUUUUUUGGGGGGGUUUUAGUGGAAAUUGUCAAAUUUGCAAAAUGACGCCUGGUGGGUUAGUGCCAAAGAACUUGAAUGGCCAGUAGUCCCCACCGAUGCCUCAUUGGCAUUGCCUGAAUCAAGAGAUGCAUGUGUAUUCACUUUAACCCCACAUUUCACAUAUGUAGAUUCUAUGAUAACAUACCAAAAAGUUAAAUGUUAUUGGUUCAAGAGACAAAAUGAAUACCGUCAUUGGGAAAAGACAUGCAAUAUGUCAUUGUCUUUUCCGAUAUGGUUAUUACCAAAAAGUGCAGAGACAGGUUUAAAAUGUGUGAAAAUAGUCAAAUGUUACUGUUGACUCUUGGGUUUUAUUGGAAAGGCCUCCUCACGUCAACAUGCCCCAUUGAUGUUUAUGGAAAACUAAUGAAAAGAUUUUUUUUUCUUCUUUCUUUCCGCUCAAAUAAUGUUUUUUCAUUCAAAUAUUGAAUGAUCUUCUGUCUUUGUUGAAGUUACUUAGGCCUACUCCUUUUUCGCAUUGGGUCACAAAGUACUAAAAGGACGAGGACAAAUUAUUAAUACACAAAAAAGGAAACCUAGUACGUUUUGCAUGAAUAACUAAACACGCAUGUGAAUUAAAUGUCAUCUGCAUCGUGCUUUUAGAGACAAAUGAGAAAUACAUACACACACAUCGGCCCUCUGCCUUUCUGCAACCAUCAAGCUGAGCAGCCCAAAGGGUCGUCUGCUAGUGUAAUUUGACUGAAGACUAAAGGAAAAAUGUCUUUAACUAAAUACUCAGAAAUGUCUUUUUUAAAUACAUCACACAAACACAAACAAAAGUGAGACAGGCAGAUCAGGAUAAUAAUACUGCAUUUAUCAUUUGAGAAGCACAGCGUUUUUAGUUAAGCAUAUAGUCUUAAACCGAGUAAUUUUACCAGCUCUGAUAUUUUUAGAAGGAGCAGGUAUUUCUUUGGAAAAUGUUUGCGUCUCACGUCUGAUGAGUUACACUGUUUAUCAGCGUACAGUUUGACGGCGCGCCGCUGGGUGAGUCACUGCUUCCUCCUCACUGUGUGUGUGUGUGUGUGUGUGUGUGUGUGUGUGUGUGUGUGUGUGCGGAAACCACGCUGACAGCUGCAGCUCAUUACAGGCACUAUUACUGAUGGGGACUGGGGGAAAUUCCUUCUCCCACAGAGCAAACCACCCUGUUUACCACACACACACACACACACAUGCAGGUCUCGCUCAUAAACCAGAGAUGCGACAUUUGUAACUGAAGCAAGAACAAAACAUAUCAAAUAGAUACAUUUAGCAAACAAAAAAGAAAAAAAGAGGCCAUCUUCUGUAAAUGGAGGGGGCACAGAUUUGAUCUAUCCAGUUUCAGGAGAAUGGACAACAUCCUUCACCUGUGCAGGAAGUGUACUCUUCUACAUGUAGUAGAAGUAAGUUGCGUGGGCGUGGGUUCCCAUAAACACACACACACACACACACACACACACACACACACACACACACACACACACACACACACACACACACACUCUCUCGCACACACACACACACACAGGGUGAGCAAACUUAAGAGGAGAUGAGAUCACCGGAGCACUCUAAGCCCUUCUAAAUUGGCACACAGCGGCGACGCACACACACACACACACACACACACACACACACACACACACACACACACACACACACACAACACACACACGCACCCACACACACACACACACACACACACACACACACUCACUCAGAGUAUACAGUGUCCAGUGACGUUAAUGAGAGGGCUGAAAGCCAGACACACAUGUGCUAGAGUCAUUAGGGAGGACUUCAUAGCUACACUUCAGGCCACUACGCUCCAUUACUGUACUUCACUGGUUUCACUGCUUGAAAAUGGUGUUUUUUCAAAGUCAGGUCCAGGGACCACCAGGGCUACUUGGAGAGCCGCGGGGUUCCUUGCAAAAUUAAAAAAGGAUCGACCAGUUACAAGUUUUUCUUUCCAUUUAUUUGGAGCAUCCAUGUUGUUAUAAUACAAAAAAAAAUAGUCUUGCAUGAAUCUAUUUAGAAACAUUAAUAGUUCUGACGAAGAACUGUUUUUAAUGGAUUAGUAGAUUUUUAUUUUAAAAUUUGUGGUGCAGUGAUAGUGUUUGUAAAGGCAGACUUACUAGUAUUAAAUAUUAGUUACACUUGUUUCAGGUGAUCACUUCUAUCUGGCUUUUGAAUCAGAGGAUUUUUUAAUGAUCUAAAAUCUGAAUGAACGAACGAACACAAAAGGACAAUGCUAAAAAACAGAUUUCAACCAUUGUGCGCUACACACAAAAAGGACAUUACCAGUUAGAGUAUUCUUUGUAGGGGAAUGUGGCCCAUUAUUCAUAAACACUGAUAGUCCAAAAAAAGUGCCACUGGGCCGACGGCCCAUUUGUUCCACAGUAUGUUGUUCUGAAAACAAAUACCCAUUGCAGAUUAUGCUGAACGUCAUUUUAGUGAUAUUUUUUUCUUUGGAUGGGUUCAUUGGGUGAAAGCAGGAGGACUGACACUAGUAAGGUUAAAGAUAAGAAUAUUGGCUGACUGACUUACCUUGAUAGACUCAAUAUGCAUUUUGACUUUGAAGUAAUGACAUGUAAUUACAUUUAUUUCAGGCAACACAAAGAAAUAACAAAAUAAGAAUCAAGUCUGUGAAAAGAUCUGUGAGAAGACUGAAACAAGCAAAGCGUUAUAGAUUUGGAAUGCUUUCUCCCCCCUUCUAUGGUAAAAAAGAAUAAGCAAUACGCUUUGGCCAUUCAGUCAAUACUUAUUUAGAAGAUCAGUUGAAUGUUUUGGUUUUAAAAGAAAAAAAGAAUUCAAACGACGAACAUCCGAGACUCUAAAUCAGGUGUGCCCUAUAGGUUGAUUGCGAUCGAAGGCGGUACCAGUUGAUCGUGUGCGCGGCCUACCGCGGGAGAAACUAAUGCUAAUUAGCGAUCCUUGCUUAUUAACAGACACAUUUAAAUUGUACUCCAAAGCAACCCAGGCUGACUCCAGUAAGGUAAUGACCAAGAACGUGCCGGAUGCUUGUGACAAUUUCCUCCUGACAGAGACGCUCGUUGUCUUCUUCAUAUCGACACGUUUCACGCUGACGGCAGGGCUGUUGCUGGUCACUGCUACUACUUACCGUCGGUUCCCCGAAAAGUAGCUUGCGAGCCUGAAAACUGUGGGCACCCCUGCCCUAAAUGAUAAUAUUCCAACAUAACUAAAUUGGUUUCUUAGUUAUGUUUAGAAAGAAUCAUAUUUUGUUAUUAACGUUAGGAAGCAGGGAUGAUUUGGAGAAGCUCUACCCGAAGAUCUUGUUGAACAUUAUUAUUUAUUGAUAAAAGCAGCUUCUUCCAAUUUGCAAUCAAUACAGGAAAGCAUCAGUAGACCAUAGGUUACCACAUAUUUUACCAUUACAUGCAUCUCACAGCUCCCAAACCUUUUCUGUCCGGGCCUCCUUUGAGGAUAUAGGGACAUUGUAGUACAUGUUGGUGGUUGCAAGGGCACUAUCAGUCCUGAAGUGGUCCGUUUUAAUUGUGUUAAAAUAUUUUAUUGCAUUAAUCUCAGGCCACGAUAUCCGCAUAGAUUAACAGGUUAAUUUUGACAGCCCUAGUUUUUAUAAAAUAAUUACAAGUCACUUUUUCCACUUAGCUGUUAUUAUAUUGUUUAUUUUGCUGAUACUACUGCUACUGCUGUUUAUUUUGUAAACAUAUUUAAGUACAUUUUGUAAACAUAUUUAAGUACAUUUUCUUCAAAUAUUAAAAUUUAAACACUGCAAAAACUUAAAACCAUGCAUUUUUGCUGUCUUUUUAAUGCUGAAUGUCUCACGAUCUCCCUCUCUCCCUUUCCCUAUCUCUCUUUUUUUUCGUAGUGAUGAAGCCACGACCCCCUUGUUGCCCCACCCCAGUUUUGGAACCACUGGAGUAGACCAGCUUUCUUUCGCUCACUUCCUCUGGUCAUUAUAUAAUAUAAAAAGGGUACAACAUUAUUAGGUUAUGGCAGAAUAUGCCUGUAACAAAAUCUUGGAAGCCAAAAUCUUUUACGGAAAUUGAAAAUGACAGGCAAUGCCCUUUGAAAUGUAUUUGUAGUUUUGGUGAAUGUUAUGUGGUACAUAUAUAUUCAAAGACUUGUGUUUUCCUAGUUUUCAUAGUAUUAUUCAGUAAUAUAAUACAAUUAGUAUUAAAAUAUUUUAGUAAUACCAUUUCUAAUUACCAUUACAAAUACCAUUUCAGGUUAUUGGAUUAGAAAAAAAGUCAUCAAUUCCUUUCAUUGGCGAUAGCAUGGCAACCAAAAGACGUUGGUUGAGAAAAUCCCCAAAACAUUGUGUCCAGAAAUUUGUUGUAAGCAUAUUCUAGCAUAACUUAAUUAUGCUGUUAUCCAUCUCCCUUCUGUCAUGACUGGAGAAAAAGAGAGAGAUGGUCCACUCCACGCUGUGAUGUAUCUGUUGCAUUAAUCAACCUCUUAAAUUGGAACAGGCUGCUUUUUAUUAAUUAUGUUCAACGUGAGGUUAGUAGAGCCUCACGCGACCAUCCCUCCCUUUUCGUUUAGACACACAAAUCACUUCCAGAUAGAAAAGGAUGGGAGAGAGAGAGGGCGAGCUUCAUUACAAUUAAAUGAACAGAGAAAACGAGACGAUGCCAACGGGGAUGCGGUGAAAGAACGAUGACAGGUAUUUAGAUAAUAAAAUGAGAAGUGACACUAGGGUGUUUAAAAGGGUGAUGAACCCCUUUUGGCAUUUCUAGGUUUAAACAAUUUAACCGAAAAAUGUAGUUUGCGUAAACACCUACACAGAUAACUUCAUUUCAGAAAAAACAAUUUCAUUUUAUGUAUACUUGUGUUCCUUUAUCACUUAUUUCAACUUGAUUGGAUCUUUGUCCAUAUGAAUCAAAUUAUUUAACAAGUUUCCGAACGAUGGACAACACACUGCAGUGUGUAGAUGGAGCGCACGUAAUUGUGAUGGUCCAGUACCUCAACAGAGCAGCACGCGUUUUUGGGAAUAACGCCUCAGAGAAAGAUGCAACAGCGCAAACAGAUGUUUUCAAGCAGGAGAGCUGGACGCGCGUUGCAUGAUGUAUACAAGACGGCGGGUUGACUGGCUAUUCAACAUAACUAAAUUUGCAUAACUUGUGUGUAAAUUAGGAGCGCAAGCUAGCUAAACUUGAAUAUGUUAGGCCACUGGCAACCACAGGGGCAGGACUCAAAAGCAGACACAGGCAACAUGUCGUCGGGUGAAGAAUGGUCGUUACUGAAGAGAGUUCGGUACACAGGUAAUCAGUCGCAAAGGUAUCCAAAUCUGAAGGCAAAACUUACAGGUACACGGGAACGGGUCAAGACACGACGGCGCGACAAACUGGCACAGAACGAGGGAUUGACACAGACUAAAUACGCUAGGCAGGGCAAGCAACGAGACCCGGGUGGAGACAAUCAGGGAGGAGCUUGUAACCACACACAGUGAGGGGGAGCUGCCUGAAACGACAAAACAGAGUCACAGAAAACACAGACAAA
Molecule: non-coding RNA, 7253 nt
Organism: Gasterosteus aculeatus aculeatus (three-spined stickleback)
Lineage: Eukaryota; Metazoa; Chordata; Actinopteri; Perciformes; Gasterosteidae
Source: RefSeq, a predicted model, not a curated record